Molecule: long non-coding RNA, 760 nt
Organism: Schistocerca americana (American grasshopper)
Lineage: Eukaryota; Metazoa; Arthropoda; Insecta; Orthoptera; Acrididae
Exons: 3
Source: RefSeq, a predicted model, not a curated record
GUUGAAUAGUCUUUUAUUACACAGUACUAUUUGGUCAUUGAUAACUUUUUGCACCGUGUGGUAGCCUUGUGGAGAUAGUAAUUGUCUUCUAUUGUUAAAAGUUGUGACAUAUGGUUUCUGUGUUUCAGGAUUAACGUCUGUUUCUAUGCCACGGGAGGAGUAGUCGUUUUUGAUUAAAUUCUCUGCAAAUGUGGAAAGUGUGCUGUCACUUUUCAGUGAUUAUAAAUGCUCGGAGUAUCAAAUUCGGAUAUUUCUGCAUAUUUGUCCAAUGUAUCUUAUUGAGAAAUUUCUGCAUGUCUGCCCAAUGUAUACUGAAUUACAGUAUUUGCAGAAAUGAAAUGGAGCAAAGAGGCAUUAAGCAACUUAAAUCUGGCAUACAGCAAGGAAAAGUGUAUGUAUGACCCGCUGUAUCAGAAUAAGCAUGCCUUAAAGAGAAAUUGGUAGUGACAGGGGAGAAUGUUUGUUCAGUUUGGUCCAGAGCGACAGACGAGAACUGCAAAACUCUGAGUAGCACAUAUACAUAGUGCAAACUUGGAAAAAUAACAUAAGUGCACCUUUAAGUACUGGUCCUUUAAAGUGCUGCCCUAAUCGGAAGAUUUACUGUCAAUGCCAUGGCAAUAGCUCCAAAAACAAAUGGGUCCUCCUUGUGCAAAGUGCUGUAUAAGUACAUGUACCUGUUUAACCAAGAGUCAUGAUAUAAAACUAACUGUUGGGUCUGUAAUUCAGAACAGUGGUAAUGUACCUAAGAGAAUAACAGUUA